This 58-nucleotide transfer RNA is filed under the name Cricetulus griseus (Chinese hamster). It matches the Rfam family "tRNA", at positions 8 to 63 of the family's 71-position model. From Rfam's summary of the family: Transfer RNA (tRNA) molecules are approximately 80 nucleotides in length. The record is from Rfam by way of RNAcentral. Lineage: Eukaryota; Metazoa; Chordata; Mammalia; Rodentia; Cricetidae. RNAcentral also lists the same sequence under 2 other names.
UGGCUCAGUGGUUAAGAGCACUGGAUGCUCUUCCAGAGGACCUGGGUUCAAUUCCCAG